This 680-nucleotide ribosomal RNA is filed under the name Vibrio cholerae. Its description in RNAcentral is "partial 23S ribosomal RNA". It matches the Rfam family "Bacterial large subunit ribosomal RNA", at positions 2263 to 2925 of the family's 2925-position model. The record is from RNAcentral. Lineage: Bacteria; Pseudomonadati; Pseudomonadota; Gammaproteobacteria; Vibrionales; Vibrionaceae.
GGGUAGUUUGACUGGGGCGGUCUCCUCCCAAAGAGUAACGGAGGAGCACGAAGGUGGGCUAAUCACGGUUGGACAUCGUGAGGUUAGUGCAAUGGCAUAAGCCCGCUUAACUGCGAGAAUGACGGUUCGAGCAGGUGCGAAAGCAGGUCAUAGUGAUCCGGUGGUUCUGUAUGGAAGGGCCAUCGCUCAACGGAUAAAAGGUACUCCGGGGAUAACAGGCUGAUACCGCCCAAGAGUUCAUAUCGACGGCGGUGUUUGGCACCUCGAUGUCGGCUCAUCACAUCCUGGGGCUGAAGUCGGUCCCAAGGGUAUGGCUGUUCGCCAUUUAAAGUGGUACGCGAGCUGGGUUUAGAACGUCGUGAGACAGUUCGGUCCCUAUCUGCCGUGGGCGUUGGAAGAUUGAAGGGGGCUGCUCCUAGUACGAGAGGACCGGAGUGGACGAACCUCUGGUGUUCGGGUUGUGUCGCCAGACGCAUUGCCCGGUAGCUAAGUUCGGAAUUGAUAAGCGCUGAAAGCAUCUAAGCGCGAAGCGAGCCCUGAGAUGAGUCUUCCCUGAUACUUUAAGUAUCCUAAAGGGUUGUUCGAGACUAGAACGUUGAUAGGCAGGGUGUGUAAGCGUUGUGAGGCGUUGAGCUAACCUGUACUAAUUGCCCGUGAGGCUUAACCAUACAACACCCAAG